AACGAACGCUGGCGGCAUGCCUAACACAUGCAAGUCGAACGAGACUUUCGGGUCUAGUGGCGCACGGGUGAGUAACGCGUGGGAACCUGCCCUUAGGUUCGGAAUAACCCCCCGAAAGGGGUGCUAAUACCGGAUAAUGUCUUCGGACCAAAGAUUUAUCGCCUUUGGAUGGGCCCGCGUUGGAUUAGCUAGUUGGUAGGGUAAAAGCCUACCAAGGCGACGAUCCAUAGCUGGUCUGAGAGGAUGAUCAGCCACACUGGGACUGAGACACGGCCCAGACUCCUACGGGAGGCAGCAGUGGGGAAUAUUGGACAAUGGGCGAAAGCCUGAUCCAGCAAUGCCGCGUGAGUGAUGAAGGCCUUAGGGUUGUAAAGCUCUUUUACCCGGGAUGAUAAUGACAGUACCGGGAGAAUAAGCUCCGGCUAACUCCGUG
This 433-nucleotide ribosomal RNA is filed under the name uncultured bacterium. RNAcentral describes it as "partial 16S ribosomal RNA". It matches the Rfam family "Bacterial small subunit ribosomal RNA", at positions 29 to 507 of the family's 1533-position model. The record is from RNAcentral.